Gossypium arboreum is the source of this 1215-nucleotide long non-coding RNA. RefSeq lists it as uncharacterized. The record is from RefSeq and is a predicted model, not a curated record. NCBI's taxonomy places the organism in Eukaryota, Viridiplantae, Streptophyta, Magnoliopsida, Malvales, Malvaceae. The transcript is spliced from 2 exons.
UAAUUAGUUUAAUAAAUAUAUAUUACUAGGGAUUAAAUCGAAACGAAUUUUAAAUUAGAGGAAAAUGUGAAAAUAAAAAGUUUUAAUUGAAAUGAGAUUUAAUUGAAAAGGGGAGAGAAUAGGAAAGGGCAGGGGAAAGAAACCAAAAUUUGAAAAUUGGUUGGCUAUAUAAGAACACCCAAUGUCCCUUCCUUCCAUAUUUCUAUUCAUUUGAAAAGUUUGUUAGAUCCAAAUUAGGAGUCUUCUCUCAAAAUUCUCUCAACCAUUUUGAUUUUCCAAGCAUCCAAAAACAUUUUUCUUCUCUAAUUUCAAAAGAAACUCUUCUCCAUAAAUUCUCUAUUAUUUAAAACACAUUUUGCUCAAAUUGAUCCAAAUCUCGUGGAGUUCUUCAAAUCAAAGCCUUAGAUCGCAAGGGAGCCUCAUCAAGCAAAGACAAAGGCAAGUAGAAGGCGACUUAGGUUCGACAGCAAGCAGCGAACUAACAGGUGAUUGGUUAUAUAUACUGCAAAUAAGCACUAGUUCGCGUGCUAAGGAGAGCUUAAGUAUUUUAAAAACCCUAUUAUACCAUAUGCGAACCAUGUUAUAUUAUAUGCGAAACUUGUUAUACUAUAUGAGAUCCUUAUUAUACUAUAUGCGAACCAUGUUAUACUAUGUGCAAACCCAUGCUAUUAUGCGAACACAUGUUGUUAUGCGAACCUAUACCAUGUGUAAACUAUACUGUUAUGCGAACCUAUGUUAUAUGCGAACUAUAAAUUACGAACUGUGAUAUUGCAAACUAUGAAUUACGAACUGUGCAAUAUUAUGCGAGCUCUGCUAUAUUGCGAGCCCUAUUAUAUUGUGAGCCCUAUUAUACUAUGAAUGUGUUAAAAAUGAUAUGUUGGCAUUGUGAACACUUGAAACUGUUGGAUAUCAAUGGCAUGCCAUAGGACUGUGAGUACUCACAUUUUAUUAUGUAUUAGGGCAUUGUGGCCUGAAGAUAGUGUUGGAGAGAUAAGGGAAUGUAUAGCAUAGCUCCAUUCACUAUAGAUAGUGUGGAGUGUUUAGAGAGCGUGAGCAUCCGUGCUACACUUAUUGGAGAUAGCGCAAGACUCUUUGAGUCAUUUGGAGCGUUUGGAGAUCCUUUUAUCCAAAGCAUAUAAAUCAUGAAUAUGUUUCACAGUCACGAAUUGCCAAUAUAUCAAUAUUAUGUGUUUUGAGUAUUGUAUUUUAUGCAAA